AAACCGGAUUAUCGGGUCACCUGUUACUCUUUCUUCUUCCUUCUAAUUUACUAGGAGAGAGAAGAGGAAUCAGAACCGGAUUUCACCAGAUUCUUAUCAACCUUCGAAUCCUCCAUCAAUUUCAGCACUACAUAGAGAUUCAAAUUGGCUUCAAUUUCAUCUAAGUCGCCGACUUGAACUUUGAUCCAUCAGAAAUUUAAAGAAGAAGAAGAAAGUGCAAGGAACAAAAAUGGCUUUAGAGAGAUUUGAGGAGCAGGACUUUCUCGCAUGCUGUGGUAGCACCAAAUUCGCUAAAGAAAUGGUGUUGGCUUCCCCUUUUACUUCCCUUGAAGAAGCCAUCGCUGCAGCCAGAAACAUCUGGUUUAACAAGGUUGAUGUGAAUGGUUGGCUUGAAGCAUUCUCUUCUCAUCCUCAGAUUGGACAAUCCCCUUCUUCUGCCCACACUUCUCACACUGCUGCUCAAUGGAGUAAGGGAGAGCAGUCAACUGCUUUAGCAACUUCUACUGGUUCCAGCUUACAGGAACUUUCUGACUGGAAUGCCCAGUAUAGGCAAAAGUUUGGAUUUAUAUUUAUUAUAUGUGCAUCUGGACGGAGUACUGCUGAAAUACUUGCUGAAUUGAAGGUGAAGUUUGGAUUUUAGUUUGCAUUUCAAGUGCUGUUGUGUAAAAUCUUAGCUUCUCUUCUUAUGCACUAAACAACUGUAGUGCUGCUUGUUAAAGUAUGACAUUAGUGAGGCGUUAGUUUCUAAUCAAUAAUUUUAUGGAAGAUUAUUAGUGUCCAGAUUUAUUUCAAAAUCUUCCUUUGUAUUGUAGUGUCUGAGUUGUUUAAAUGUGUUCUAAAGUAACAGUAAAUCUUUCAUCUUUUCUGAAGACAUUUACACUACAGUUCCAUUUGAAAGAAAGUGUAUUUUACGAAUUACAGCUGGAAAAAUGCUUACUAAUAGCUGCGAAAAUAAAGAACCUUCACAAAUCAAUGAGGGGCUUUUCUGGUGAUUUUGGUAUUUAUUCUUUACUGUUCUCGCACUACACUAACAUGAGACUUAUUUUUCUACCACUUUUCUGUACUUUUUCCCCCAUUUGUUAUAUUUGAUCUCACUCCACCCUUUAUUAUCUUUCUUUCUCCUCCUUCUCUUUUUCUUUAUUUUGUCUCCUUCUAUGUUGAAUUUUUUGAACAAGUGCUUUGUGAGUGAGACUCGCUCAGAACUGUAAGUGAUUCUUUACUUUGUUUUGUUCAGAAACGGUACCAAAACAGGCCCAUAGUUGAGUUUGAAAUUGCAGCUCAAGAGCAAAUGAAAGUAACAGAGCUCCGCCUUGGAAAGCUCUUCUCAACCAAAACUAAACCUGCUUCCUCUGGUAAGCAACAUCCCACAGUUUUAGCGACAAAAGUAGAAGGUAACUCUCUAUUUUAUUUUUAUUAAAUAUUUUAGUUUGUGUGUUGGGUUGGGGGGGGGGGGGGUAGGAGAGAGGGGAGGAAUAGGAUGUGGAUUUUCAUUUUAUGGAAUUUCCUUGAUCUUGUUUGUUGCGAACAAUAUUAUGUAUUUUUUUUUUUUGUGUUCCUGCUCUUGCUUGUUCAAUUCCUGUUUGGAGAGUCUUGGUUUGUAAUCCCUUCUUAACAUCUUUUAAAUAUGCCUUUGCAAUUGACAUUUUGUAUGGAUUGUGAAUCCCUUUUUGCAUUUUGGUCAUUACUUGAGUUUGUGUUAUACUUUGGCAAUUCAUUAACUAACGCCUCAAGAUGAAAGUAAAUAAAAUUGAGGUCCUUAGGGAUGAAUACAAUGUGAAUACGGGAUAUUCUGUGGAUAUUCCUGCAACCCCUGUCGGCAACAGCCUAAAUUUUCAAGUAAAUCUGGAUUGGGUUAAAAAAAAAAAAAAGAACUGGUCUAGAAAAAAGAUGAGGAGAAAAAAGAAGUGCUUUUAAUCUCUCACGUAUUGUAAUAUAUUUCUGCAACUUCCUAGUCAUGCUGGCUUUUGAUUUUUCUCCAUUUGUGAAUUUCUUCUCCAAAGAACAGAUUACUUGUCUGUUUCUAUGGACAUUGCUAUAGUUUCAAUUACUGAUGUUUGAUCAUUUUUUGAGAUUUAGAAGAUCGUGUGGCUGUUGUUGGAGGACAUUUAAAGGCUGCUCCUAAUCCUUCAUCUGAUAAGGCAUCUCAAGUUCCAACUCGAACCCGUCCACCCAUUACAACUCAUGUCUUAGAUGUUUCUCGGGGUUGUCCAGCCACUGGUGUUGAGGUGCGUUUGGAGAUGUGGAAGGGCAGUCAACCCCGUCCCUUGUUUGAUAAGACAGAUAUUGGCGGUUGGAUAUUUCAGGGGUCUUCGAUUACAGAUGUGGAUGGGCGAAGUGGUCAAUUGAUGAGCAUUGUUAAUGAUGUGAACCCUGGAAUAUACAGAAUAAGUUUCAACACAGGCAAGUACUGUCCAUCUGGGUUCUUUCCAUAUGUUUCUAUUGUGUUUGAAAUCAAAGAAUCACAGAACAGGGAACAUUUUCAUGUUCCUCUGCUGCUUUCACCAUUCUCAUUCAGUACAUACCGUGGCAGCUAGAGCCUUGGUAUGUCAGUUGACAAACCAUGUUUUUUUAGAUGAAACUUUUCCAUUGCGAAUGUAGUAAAUACUCUUAUCAACUUACGUUGUAAAAAGUUUAGCAAUAAUAGUUGAUGCUUGUUCUCUGCC
This 2663-nucleotide unclassified non-coding RNA is filed under the name Hevea brasiliensis (rubber tree). Lineage: Eukaryota; Viridiplantae; Streptophyta; Magnoliopsida; Malpighiales; Euphorbiaceae. The record is from RNAcentral.